ACGUUAGCGGCGGACGGGUGAGUAACACGUGGGUAACCUACCUAUAAGACUGGGAUAACUUCGGGAAACCGGAGCUAAUACCGGAUAAUAUUUCGAACCGCAUGGUUCGAUAGUGAAAGAUGGUUUUGCUAUCACUUAUAGAUGACCCGCGCCGUAUUAGCUAGUUGGUAAGGUAACGGCUUACCAAGGCGACGAUACGUAGCCGACCUGAGAGGGUGAUCGGCCACACUGGAACUGAGACACGGUCCAG
RNAcentral lists this ribosomal RNA (250 nucleotides) under uncultured Staphylococcus sp. RNAcentral's name for it is "partial 16S ribosomal RNA". It matches the Rfam family "Bacterial small subunit ribosomal RNA", at positions 89 to 334 of the family's 1533-position model. Lineage: Bacteria; Bacillati; Bacillota; Bacilli; Caryophanales; Staphylococcaceae. The record is from RNAcentral.